Molecule: ribosomal RNA, 497 nt
Filed under: uncultured bacterium
Lineage: Bacteria
Description: partial 16S ribosomal RNA
Rfam family: Bacterial small subunit ribosomal RNA
Source: RNAcentral
GAUGAACGCUGGCGGCGUGCCUAAUACAUGCAAGUCGAGCGAACAGACGAGGAGCUUGCUCCUCUGACGUUAGCGGCGGACGGGUGAGUAACACGUGGAUAACCUACCUAUAAGACUGGGAUAACUUCGGGAAACCGGAGCUAAUACCGGAUAAUAUAUUGAACCGCAUGGUUCAAUAGUGAAAGACGGUUUUGCUUUCACUUAUAGAUGGAUCCGCGCCGCAUUAGCUAGUUGGUAAGGUAACGGCUUACCAAGGCAACGAUGCGUAGCCGACCUGAGAGGGUGAUCGGCCACACUGGAACUGAGCCACGGUCCAGACUCCUACGGGAGGCAGCAGUAGGGAAUCUUCCGCAAUGGGCGAAAGCCUGACGGAGCAACGCCGCGUGAGUGAUGAAGGUCUUCGGAUCGUAAAACUCUGUUAUUAGGGAAGAACAAAUGUGUAAGUAACUAUGCACGUCUUGACGGUACCUAAUCAGAAAGCCACGGCUAACUACGUG